UACGAAGGGGGCUAGCGUUGCUCGGAAUCACUGGGCGUAAAGGGUGCGUAGGCGGGUCUUUAAGUCAGGGGUGAAAUCCUGGAGCUCAACUCCAGAACUGCCUUUGAUACUGAAGAUCUUGAGUUCAGGAGAGGUGAGUGGAACUGCGAGUGUAGAGGUGAAAUUCGUAGAUAUUCGCAAGAACACCAGUGGCGAAGGCGGCUCACUGGCCCGAUACUGACGCUGAGGAGCGAAAGCGUGGGGAGCAAACAGG
RNAcentral lists this ribosomal RNA (253 nucleotides) under uncultured bacterium. RNAcentral describes it as "partial 16S ribosomal RNA". It matches the Rfam family "Bacterial small subunit ribosomal RNA", at positions 524 to 776 of the family's 1533-position model. The record is from RNAcentral.